RNAcentral lists this ribosomal RNA (234 nucleotides) under uncultured Glomus. RNAcentral describes it as "partial small subunit ribosomal RNA". It matches the Rfam family "Eukaryotic small subunit ribosomal RNA", at positions 548 to 785 of the family's 1831-position model. The record is from RNAcentral. Lineage: Eukaryota; Fungi; Glomeromycota; Glomeromycetes; Glomerales; Glomeraceae.
UUGGAGGGCAAGUCUGGUGCCAGCAGCCGCGGUAAUUCCAGCUCCAAUAGCGUAUAUUAAAGUUGUUGCAGUUAAAAAGCUCGUAGUUGAAUUUCGGGGUUAGUAGGUUGGUCAUGCCUCUGGUAUGUACUGGUCUCACUGAUUCCUCCUUCCUUAUGAACCGUAAUGCCAUUAAUUUGGUGUUGCGGGGAAUUUGGACUGUUACUUUGUAAAAAUUAGAGUGUUAAAGCAGGC